AAACAACAACAAACAAAACAAAACCCGAAAAGAACAAAAACCAAUAAAAAACCUUGAGUUGUACAUAAAGUGUUCCUUUAGCUUGAGGAAGAAAAUAAUGUAUCUCUUGCUGCCAUUAAUAUUUUUAUUCAUUCUGUAUCCAAAGUUGAUACUGUUAAGUCAUUAUCUUUGUGUAGGGAUUAUACUUCUAACUCUUACUGCCUUGACUCUUAAGAUGAUUGUACCAAUGCAGAAAGCCAAGUCACAUUCUCUUAUUUCCUUCACUCAUGUUUGUUCAGUUAUUGAAAUAAUUUAUCAGAGGCUUUCCCUUGUUUUCUUUUCUCUCUCCUUCUGCUAUAAAUGCAGUUACAACCUUUAGCACAGUUACCUUUACUGAUACAUUGAUUAAUAGGAUGGCAACGGACUCACUUGCAUAAAUCAUUUGUUAUAAAACCUCGCAUCCCAACAUAUAGUGUGGCUCUGGUAAUAUUAGAGUAGAGAUUCUCAAAAUUUGUUCCCUGGACCAUCAGUAAUGGCAUCAUCUGAGAACUUGUUAGAAAUCCAAAUUCUUGGACUUCACUCCAGAUCUACUGACUCAGAAACUCUUGAUAUGGGGCCCAGCCAUUUAAAUGACUACAAACCUCGGUUAUUCUGAUGGCUGCUCAUGUUUGAGAGCUACAGUGUUCUAGAGUGAGGCUAGUCACAUCUUCAUAUCUAUCCACAAAGACUGCUGAAAAGUUAAUAUUCCUUAAUGUAUCCACUCAAGUGAAAUGCUAGAGAUACAUCCAGAUGUUGGCUAUUGACCAUUUAAUUAGAUUACUUUUAUCUCAUCCAUCUUCAGUCUUCAGAAUAACUGGGUCAAGGCCAUAUGGUGACUCAAUUUUAACAUUAAUAAUACUAGCCACUUAAAUUAUAUAACAUUUUUUCAUUCUUCAAAGUUCUGACAUAUAUAAAAUUUCAUUUGAUUAUACAAUGGAAUUAAAUAUAUCAUUCAUUUGAGUCAAUGCAAUUUAAUUACAGGAAAAGAAUAAUAAACACAAACUUUUGCAAAGCCAUGUGUUAAUCUUUUUUUGUCUCUAUGUCUCUGGUUAUCUUGCAUUAAAAUCUAUACUUGGU
RNAcentral lists this long non-coding RNA (1095 nucleotides) under Marmota monax (woodchuck). Lineage: Eukaryota; Metazoa; Chordata; Mammalia; Rodentia; Sciuridae. The record is from RNAcentral.